ACGCGACAUUCUGACCCGAAGCAAAGCACAACGGUAUCCAGAAUUUCAGAUCCGACCCGACGAUCCGUGUCGGAGUCGAUGGCGGCGCCGGCGAGCCGCCGCCGCCGCGAACCUUCUUCCCGCUCGUGGCCGCUUCUGUUCGUCGCCAUCCUCGCCGUCCACUCGGUGGCCAUCUACCUCUUCACCCGUGGCUUCCUCCUCACCCGCACCGAGCUCGACGUCCACAGCCACCGGGACGACCGCACCGGCGUCUCCCCCGGGUGCUCCUCCUGGCCCCGGCCAGCCGUAGACCGCCUCGUCAUCGUGGUCCUCGACGCCCUCAGGUUCGAUUUCGUGGCACCGAGCACAUUCUUUCCAGAGAAGCAGCCAUGGAUGGACAAGUUGCAGGUCCUGCAGAAGCUGGCUGCUGAGGAGAAGAACUCUGCCAGGAUCUUUAAAGCGCUAGCCGACCCGCCAACCACCAGCCUUCAACGUCUGAAGGCUCUCACCACGGGUGGUCUCCCUACCUUUAUCGAUGUCGGCAACAGCUUUGGAGCGCCAGCAAUAGUAGAAGACAACAUAAUGCACCAGCUGGUAAAAAAUGGAAAGAGGGUAGUCAUGAUGGGAGAUGAUACAUGGACACAGUUAUACCCAGAGCACUUCAACAAGUCAUUCCCGUACCCUUCUUUUAAUGUUAAAGAUCUUGAUACGGUAGACAAUGGUGUUAUUGAGCACUUGCUUCCAUCAUUACGUGAAAAUGAUUGGGAUGUUCUUAUUGCACAUUUCCUUGGUGUGGACCAUGCAGGACAUAUAUUCGGUGUUGACUCUACCCCAAUGAUCCAAAAGUUGGAGCAAUACAAUAAAAUCCUAGAGGAUGUAAUUGACACGUUGAAAAGUCUAUCAACACCUGGUGGUCCCCAUGAAAAUACUUUACUUCUUGUAAUGGGUGAUCAUGGCCAAACCCUUAACGGUGAUCAUGGAGGGGGAACUUCUGAAGAGGUUGAAACAUCGCUUUUCGCAUGGAGUUCAAAGACACCACCUGAUGCUGUGUUGUCCGUUCUUGGUGCAAAUUCAUGCAAUUUUGAUCUGUAUGGGGCAGAAGUGUGCAUCAGCACUAUGCAGCAGCUUGAUUUUGCAGCAACUGUAUCAGCACUACUCGGUGUACCUUUUCCUUUUGGAAGCAUUGGACGUGUGAACCCUGAAUUGUAUGCUUUGAGUGCUGGAACAUGGGAUGAUCAAAAGAUGGGCGUCGAUGCUUGUACACCGCAGAAUGACCUAGAAGCAUGGAAAAGGAGAUAUGCUGAAGCUCUUUGUGUAAAUAGUUGGCAGGUAAAGAGAUACAUUGAUCAAUAUUCUGGCAGUUCUAUUAUUGGAUUUUCAGCCGAAUAUCUGCACCAUGUUGCAGAGCUGUAUUCGAAAGCUCAGGCAAACUGGUCAGUGGCUCUGAGGUCUACAUGUCCAUCAGAAACAGCUGAAGAAGAAUUUAAAGCGAGCUCAAGUUCUCCUUUGCAGUUGCAAAUUGAUGCAUACUCUGACUUCUUGGAAAGCUUUGCAAAGCUUGCUCGCUCUGCAUGGACAGAGUUUGAUUUAUGGUCGAUGGGCAUCGGUCUUUUACUUAUGAUACUGUCAGUUAUCACUCAGGCAUGUGUACUUGUGAAGCUGAAUACUAUAUGUCAACCAUCAGAUCAGGAAAGUACUAGUUCAAGAGCCAUUCCAAAAUUAUCAUUUGCUUUUAUGUUGGUCGCGAUUCGAGCAGCAAGUAUACUAUCCAACAGCUAUAUAUUGGCAGAAGGUAGAGUUGCGAACUUUCUUUUGGCUACGAGUUGCAUUGCCGGUGUGUGGCACUCAGCCACAAAAGGAAACUUCAGCAUUGAAGAGUUUGUUUUUCUUCUUCUGAAUAUUUUUGCACGAUUUGGAAUUGAGUUUGGGAUGUCAAAACAAAUUGCUGGGCCAACAGUUACAAAAGACCACCCAGUGAGCAUUAUUUUGGACAUGUUUGGUUCCAGUUUCUGCAAUGGUCUCAUGGAUAUAUUCCCCAUCAUAUCUCUUGCCUUGGUGGCCUACAUUGUAUUGAAGUUCAUUACCUAUGCAAUCUAUCAGAGAUUCUUAAAGUACUUUAUUAUGUCUGGAACCAUCUUGAGCUAUAUAUUUAUAGCAAAUCAUUGGGCUUCUGAAAGUACUUUGUUCUUUCAUAGUAAAGCUAUUCGAGAUAUUGGAAUAAGUUUAGCUCCUCGUUUUGUUUAUGCUAUUGGAGGUUUUUCACUGGCAAUAUCUGCACUCUGUCGAUUGUUUGGCGCAAUUGAUACUUUGAGGUUGAACGAAAGGAUAACUAGUUUAUCAGCAGCCAUGUUGUGUUCAUGGAGCCCGACUAUCUUGAUCUUGUUGGGAAGGCAAGGUUCUUUUGUGGCUUUAAUUUGCAUCACUGGAGCUUGGUGUAUAAUAAUGCUACAGCAGAAAUAUCAGAAAGACUUGAAACUUGACAUAAUUGGUGUCGCUAACCCAGUAUCGGUAACACAGUGGAGCCUUUUUGCAGUUUGUCUAUUUUAUCUGACUGGUCACUGUCCAAGAGAUAAUGCAUGCCCACUUUUCUCUACUGGUAUAUGGGGUGUACCUUUGACGGCCUCCGCUAUGGUGCUGCCUUCGUUGGGUUUGAUCAUUUCCAUAUUAUCCGCCAAGGGCUUCUUCUUUCCAUUGAUACCUUUGGUGUUUCUCACAUCCUUCCAGUUCUCAGUCUACCAUUUAUUGCCGUGCAUUGUUAUAAUAAGGCAUCCAAGAAAAGCAAAGUGAAGGAUGUCACUACCAACAUUCUAAUACAGGUCCAUUUGAUGUAUGGUCUAAUUACAGCUAUCGCUACAACACUUACAAUCAUAUGUGUGACUAUUCAAAGGCGCCACUUGAUGGUUUGGGGUUUGUUUGCACCAAAAUAUGUAUUUGACGCUAUCGGACUACUCCUGACAGAUUUCCUAAUAUGUCUGGCAUCUCUCUUCUACAGCUGAUGUUGCAUCCCCCCCCCCCCCCCCCCCCCUAGUUACAGAUGCUAUACCUUUUCUUAGUUCAUUACAACUAGUGCCGAUCUUUCAAUGUUCCAGUCACUGGUGUAAAAUCAUGUACAUUGAAUUAGAUUUACAGAGCAUUCAUGGUUUGGUAAUGAGCAAGCAGAAAUGAUAGUUCAAGUUCCCCAAAUGUUUUGUCCUUUGAAUCCACAAAGAUGCAUAAUCUUGAGUGUGGUUCCACAAAUAUUUAUUUUAAUUUUGUUAUAGUGUAGUCAGGUUAAUAUCA
RNA transcript from Brachypodium distachyon (stiff brome), 3258 nucleotides. It is a transcript of the gene named GPI ethanolamine phosphate transferase 3, with no coding region annotated. Lineage: Eukaryota; Viridiplantae; Streptophyta; Magnoliopsida; Poales; Poaceae. The record is from RefSeq and is a predicted model, not a curated record. The transcript has 21 exons.